GACGAACGCUGGCGGCGUGCCUAAUACAUGCAAGUUGAGCGCUGAAGGUUGGUACUUGUACCAACUGGAUGAGCAGCGAACGGGUGAGUAACGCGUGGGGAAUCUGCCUUUGAGCGGGGGACAACAUUUGGAAACGAAUGCUAAUACCGCAUAAAAACUUUAAACACAAGUUUUAAGUUUGAAAGAUGCAAUUGCAUCACUCAAAGAUGAUCCCGCGUUGUAUUAGCUAGUUGGUGAGGUAAAGGCUCACCAAGGCGAUGAUACAUAGCCGACCUGAGAGGGUGAUCGGCCACAUUGGGACUGAGACACGGCCCAAACUCCUACGGGAGGCAGCAGUAGGGAAUCUUCGGCAAUGGACGAAAGUCUGACCGAGCAACGCCGCGUGAGUGAAGAAGGUUUUCGGAUCGUAAAACUCUGUUGGUAGAGAAGAACGUUGGUGAGAGUGGAAAGCUCAUCAAGUGACGUAACUACCCA
RNAcentral lists this ribosomal RNA (474 nucleotides) under Lactococcus lactis. RNAcentral describes it as "bacterial SSU rRNA". It matches the Rfam family "Bacterial small subunit ribosomal RNA", at positions 28 to 485 of the family's 1533-position model. Lineage: Bacteria; Bacillati; Bacillota; Bacilli; Lactobacillales; Streptococcaceae. The record is from RNAcentral.